CAUUCAGUAGCCUAGCUACUUGUUUAUACCCUUGUUUUUUGCGUACCUUAUUGUUUCCUCGGUCGGGCUUGCCUGCCGAGUUGGACAAAACUAUAACCUCUUUUAAAUCUUCAAUCAGCGUCUGAAUUAUACAUAAUAAUUA
This 142-nucleotide unclassified non-coding RNA is filed under the name soil metagenome. RNAcentral describes it as "partial internal transcribed spacer 1". The record is from RNAcentral.